CGGCAGGCCUAACACAUGCAAGUCGAGCGGCAGCGGGUCAUUCGGGAUGCCGGCGAACGGCGGACGGGUGAGUAAUGCCUAGCAUGUCUGCCUGGUAGUGGGGGAUAACUCGGGGAAACUCGAGCUAAUACCGCAUACGUCCUACGGGAGAAAGCGGGGGAUCUUCGGACCUCGCGCUAUCAGAUGAGCCUAGGUCGGAUUAGCUAGUUGGUGGGGUAAUGGCUCACCAAGGCGACGAUCCGUAACUGGUCUGAGAGGAUGAUCAGUCACACUGGAACUGAGACACGGUCCAGACUCCUACGGGAGGCAGCAGUGGGGAAUAUUGGACAAUGGGCGAAAGCCUGAUCCAGCCAUGCCGCGUGUGUGAAGAAGGUCUUCGGAUUGUAAAGCACUUUAAGUUGGGAGGAAGGGCAGUAAGUUAAUACCUUGCUGUUUUGACGUUACCGACAGAAUAAGCACCGGCUAACUUCGUGCCAGCAGCCGCGGUAAUACGAAGGGUGCAAGCGUUAAUCGGAAUUACUGGGCGUAAAGCGCGCGUAGGUGGUUCAGCAAGUUGGAGGUGAAAUCCCCGGGCUCAACCUGGGAACUGCCUCCAAAACUACUGAGCUAGAGUACGGUAGAGGGUGGUGGAAUUUCCUGUGUAGCGGUGAAAUGCGUAGAUAUAGGAAGGAACACCAGUGGCGAAGGCGACCACCUGGACUGAUACUGACACUGAGGUGCGAAAGCGUGGGGAGCAAACAGGAUUAGAGACCCCUGUAGUCCUAGUCGUAAACAAUGCCUACUAGCUGGUCCGGCUUUGUCGGACUGGCGUAAGCUAACGCGUUAAGUAGGCCGCCUGGGAAGUACGGCCGCAAGGCUAAAACUCAAAUGAAUUGACGGG
This 880-nucleotide ribosomal RNA is filed under the name uncultured bacterium. RNAcentral's name for it is "bacterial SSU rRNA". It matches the Rfam family "Bacterial small subunit ribosomal RNA", at positions 40 to 917 of the family's 1533-position model. The record is from RNAcentral.